RNAcentral lists this long non-coding RNA (227 nucleotides) under Mytilus galloprovincialis (Mediterranean mussel). The record is from RNAcentral. Lineage: Eukaryota; Metazoa; Mollusca; Bivalvia; Mytilida; Mytilidae.
AGCGGGACAGACGGACGGACGGACGAACGGACGGACGAACGGUCGCACGGACGAACGGACGAACGGACGCACAGACCAGAAAACAUAAUGCCCCUCUACUAUCGUAGGUGGGGCAUAACAAAUUGCUGUUCCAAUCCAUAAAUAUAUGUUUGAAUAUAACCAUGAUAACGACACAAUAAACAAUUACCUUUGUAAACAUGGUAGCUGAUAAAAAAUUAACAAACAAC